UACUCUACUCAAAAGGCCCUGGUUACUUCUGGUGCAAGUGAACAGUGCCUUUCUGAGUAGGGCA
RNAcentral lists this microRNA precursor (64 nucleotides) under Chinchilla lanigera (long-tailed chinchilla). Its description in RNAcentral is "miRNA (ENSCLAG00000021055.1)". Lineage: Eukaryota; Metazoa; Chordata; Mammalia; Rodentia; Chinchillidae. The record is from RNAcentral.